CGUGCAAAGGUAGCGCAAUCACUUGUCUUUUAAAUGAAGACCUGUAUGAAUGGCACGACGAGGGCUUAACUGUCUCCUUUUUCUAGUCAAUGAAAUUGAUCUUCCCGUGCAGAAGCGGGAAUGCUAACAUAAGACGAGAAGACCCUAUGGAGCUUUAGACACAAGACAGCCCAUGUUAAACACCCUCCCACUAAGAGACUAAACUAAUUGGAAUCUACCUUAAUGUCUUUGGUUGGGGCGACCACGGGGAAACACAAAACCCCCAUGUGGACCAGAAACACUUUUUUCUACAACUAAGAGCUACAACUCUAACUAACAGAACUUCUGACCAGUUUUGAUCCGGCAAUGCCGAUCAACGGACCGAGUUACCCUAGGGAUAACAGCGCAAUCCCUUCUUAGAGCCCAUAUCGACGAAGGGGUUUACGACCUCGAUGUUGGAUCAGGACAUCCUAAUGGUGCAGCCGCUAUUAAGGGUUCGUUUGUUCAACGAUUAAUAGUCCUACGUGAUCUGAGU
RNAcentral lists this ribosomal RNA (514 nucleotides) under Hyperprosopon anale (spotfin surfperch). RNAcentral describes it as "partial 16S ribosomal RNA". It matches the Rfam family "Bacterial large subunit ribosomal RNA", at positions 1947 to 2610 of the family's 2925-position model. The record is from RNAcentral. Lineage: Eukaryota; Metazoa; Chordata; Actinopteri; Embiotocidae.